Molecule: transfer RNA, 106 nt
Filed under: Promethearchaeota archaeon
Lineage: Archaea; Promethearchaeati; Promethearchaeota
Description: Candidatus Lokiarchaeota archaeon tRNA-Trp
Rfam family: tRNA
About the family: Transfer RNA (tRNA) molecules are approximately 80 nucleotides in length.
Source: RNAcentral
GGGGACUUGGUGUAGCCCGGUGGCACAGCAGGCUCCAGACCUGUCGGUCGGGGGUUCAAUAUGGAAUGCCAACAGCGCGUUUCAUGGUCAUAUCCCUCAGUCCCCA